This 1593-nucleotide long non-coding RNA is filed under the name Triticum aestivum (bread wheat). RNAcentral describes it as "long non-coding RNA (TAES_LNC001549)". The record is from RNAcentral. Lineage: Eukaryota; Viridiplantae; Streptophyta; Magnoliopsida; Poales; Poaceae.
AAGAUAACACAUCGAUUCACAAAACCAAGUCCCAAAAAGGUAGACCAUCCUUCUGUAUAUUUGCACGGCAACACAAUAGUCAGACAUAUGGAAAACUUAGCUGCAUGUCAAAAUCAUACGAUUAGAAUCCAUUAAUCUUUAGAAAUAUAUACUUGUUUUAUCUAAUUCAAUCAUCAAAAGCAUAUAGGUCCAGGAAUAGGAGUUAAUCUGAAGCAUGUGUCUUGUUCUUAACUUCUCUUUGGCUGCUCUCUUCUCCUUCUGGUUGAUCUGUUGAGAUCCUUUUCCAGAAGCAUAUUCAGUAGAAGGAAAAAUAAUACUUUGAAGGAGAACCGUAUUUUGAUAUUACAAAAAAGCACAAAUUCAGUACAGGUAAGAUUUAGUAGCUCCCGAUGUUUCGAGUCAUUUAUGCAACUCAGAAAUACCACAAAAUAUAACCAGGACUGAAUAAUUGCACAAGGAAAAGAGUAGCAAGUGUCCAGUAAAUGCAACUUGGCACACGAUCUAGCUUACGAACUAAUGAAUAGAUUGAAAGGAAGUAUUGCUACAUGCAUAUAUAAUGAACAUACAGUGAAGUACUGUCACAAUGCACAGGUCAGUGAAUUUGAACAUUGUUCUUUAUGUAACUGUAAAAACUAAGAAUAAAGACCGGAACCAUUUGUAAUGAGUAAGAAGCCAAUCCUUGAAUUUUGGAAAAUGUACAGUAAAAUAAUUAAUCAAAGUUCAAUGCAAAAUAGAAAGAUGUCCAUUAAGAGACAUACUCCUUUUCCAGGUUCCUUAUGAUCACAUUUAGCACACCAUCGAUGUUAAUAAGCUCAUACGCAGCCUUGAUCAAGCACCUGGAUUAUAAGAGAACAUACAUUGGACACUUUAGUAAAAUGAUGCUUCAUGAACAGCUACAUGCAUAUGUACCAGUCUGAAAGUGAUACCUCCAGAUUGCAAAAGUUUGUGACCUCUUGAGUUACAAAUUUACAAGCACAAGGAUGAAGAAAAUAUAAAGGGAAAGAAGAGAAGAAUGCACCAAGCUGCGUCUGCGUGACUACUGUAGCAAUUAGCAGUGUAAUCAUGCAUCAGCAAGUCUUCUGAAAAUCUCUCCGAUUAUAGUAGGUGGUUAAGGCCCGGUUUAAUGAAAUGUCUCCAAAGUGGCAAAGCUAGGAGAUAGUACAUUUGUAGCGAGAAAAUAAUUACAGAAACAAUCUUUAGAAAUGCAUGCUUCAGUUCAGAGUAGUUGUUUCAAGAAACCAAACAACCCAUUAAAAAAUGCCAACUACAAAUUGAGUAGCGGGCUUCAGAAUUCUCGGAAGUCAAAAUUGAUUCAUGCAAUCUGUACACACUUGAAACCUACACCCCGUAGUCCGUGAACAGUUGAGGAAACUUGGUAUGUGCAAUCUGUACACACUUGAAGCAGUCAAGCAGCAAACAGAAAACUGAAUAUGAAGCUCUUUGCAAUGGUUUACGAAAAGGAAAAUCACAUGAGUAUGAGGUACACUGCACUGGAAACUGAACAUGAAGCAGGCCCAUCCAUGGUGUUUCAUGGAACCAGAUUUCCUUCGCUGCUCCUCGUCUUGCAUGUUCUUGCAAAAAAUAUAGAGUAUG